This 253-nucleotide ribosomal RNA is filed under the name uncultured bacterium. Its description in RNAcentral is "partial 16S ribosomal RNA". It matches the Rfam family "Bacterial small subunit ribosomal RNA", at positions 524 to 776 of the family's 1533-position model. The record is from RNAcentral.
UACGUAGGGGGCAAGCGUUGUCCGGAAUUAUUGGGCGUAAAGCGCGUGUAGGCGGCUCGGUAAGUCUGCUGUGAAAGUCCAGGGCUCAACCCUGGAACGCCGGUGGAUACUGUCGAGCUCGAGUCCGGAAGAGGCGAGUGGAAUUCCUGGUGUAGCGGUGAAAUGCGCAGAUAUCAGGAGGAACACCAAUGGCGAAGGCGGCUACCUGGACCGAUAUUGACGCUGAGACGCGAAAGCGUGGGGAGCAAACAGG